GCCGAAUUGAAGGAAACAUCGAGAAGUUACGUGCAGAGCGUGAGAAAACACCGGAAAAGGAUUCUACGGUGGCUACGUGUACGGAGAGUAGCCCACCUAUGCCUCUUGCUCCGUAUGUGUUGAAGAGGAAAAGGAGGUUGGUUGAUGAAUCUGAGGAUGAUUUGGUGAGAAAGCUUGAGUUCGAGGAGAGGGAUGUGGAAGAAGGUGUUGCUGGGAGGACGAGAAGCCGGAGGAACGAAGAUGCUGAUGCGGUUAAUAAGAAGAAAGCUAAAAGUGAAAUGAAGACGAAGAGUUUGGAGAAAAUUGAAUCAGUGAAGAGAACUUCGCCUAGAUUGUUGAAGCGCCGGUCGCCUUGAAGGUGUUUGAUCAUUUGUCUCAAUGAGUGAGAAGUUGUUUGUUGAAGUACAGUGA
RNAcentral lists this unclassified non-coding RNA (411 nucleotides) under Hevea brasiliensis (rubber tree). Lineage: Eukaryota; Viridiplantae; Streptophyta; Magnoliopsida; Malpighiales; Euphorbiaceae. The record is from RNAcentral.